Molecule: long non-coding RNA, 731 nt
Organism: Acanthopagrus latus (yellowfin seabream)
Lineage: Eukaryota; Metazoa; Chordata; Actinopteri; Spariformes; Sparidae
Exons: 2
Source: RefSeq, a predicted model, not a curated record
CGCCAUUACAGCGAGGUCAUUAUCAACGGCUUUUCAACGCACGGCGCGAGGCAGCCAUGUUGGAUUGAGGCAGCCAUGUUGGAUUAAGACUGCACCCAACUGACAUCUCAGGCCUGCAACGAUCCUCUCAUUCAAAGAGAACCAGUCAGAUCCAAGUCUGUUGUGGAGAACGUGGAUAAAAGCUGCUCUGUGGCGCAUGAAGUUAAAGAUCCUUGACUUCCCGAGUCUAAAGACACCCAGGUCUUCUGCGUUGUACGGCCCAUAGAGAGCACUAGAGACUCCUGCUGAAGAGCUAGCUAACCUCUGGUUUAGCGCCUGGCUAACUUUAAUAGGAAUUACAUGAUUUCAUUAUGUUGCUCUUUUAGAUUUCAGAUCAAAAUAUGAAAGUGAAACUACGCCUCAAGGAUGUACCCACCGUUUCUUUCACAGUAUUAGUUUACGUGCACACGUGACUUUAAAGACUGCGUCAGGACACUCCCACGCAGAGUUUAAAACCUGGCAACUCCCCCCUCCCAGCUAGUGAGAACUGAAGAAGCCUUUUGGAUGAGAGGUGAGACAUCUUCAAGAAACUGAAACAAGACUGUUGAUGCCUGUUGAAGUUCCACAGCUGUCUACAGCAGGAAGUUGUUGACUUUCGCCGUCUGACAAACUUGUUGGACGUCCACACAUUCUCCAAAGGACACGGUUGCUGAGCUCAAGAGGAGCUGAAUAAACUUUGGUUGCCCCGUUUC